Molecule: ribosomal RNA, 446 nt
Filed under: uncultured bacterium
Lineage: Bacteria
Description: SSU rRNA
Rfam family: Bacterial small subunit ribosomal RNA
Source: RNAcentral
AGAGCGAACGCUGGCGGCAGGCCUAACACAUGCAAGUCGAGCGCGUGUAGCAAUACACGAGCGGCAGACGGGAGAGUAACACGUGGGAACGCGCCCUUCGGUUCGGAAUAACUCAGGGAAACUUGAGCUAAUACCGGAUACGCCCUUACGGGGAAAGAUUUAUUGCCGAAGGAACGGCCCGCGUCCGAUUAGCUAGUUGGUGAGGUAACGGCUCACCAAGGCGACGAUCGGUAGCUGGUCUGAGAGGAUGACCAGCCUCACUGGGACUGAGACACGGCCCAGACUCCUACGGGAGGCAGCAGUGGGGAAUAUGGACAAUGGGCGCAAGCCUGAUCCAGCCAUGCCGCGUGGAUGAUGAAGGCCUUAGGGUUGUAAAGUCCUUUUAACGGGGAAGAUAAUGACGGUACCCGUAGAAUAAGCCCGGCUAACUUCGUGCCAGCAGCCGC